Molecule: ribosomal RNA, 497 nt
Filed under: uncultured bacterium
Lineage: Bacteria
Description: partial 16S ribosomal RNA
Rfam family: Bacterial small subunit ribosomal RNA
Source: RNAcentral
GAUGAACGCUGGCGGCGGGCCUAAUACAUGCAAGUCGAGCGAACAGACGAGGGUCGUGAUCCUCUGACGGUAGCGGGGGACGGGUGAGUAACACAUGGAUACACUUCCUAUUAAACUGGGAUAAAGUCGGGAAAACGGAGCUAUUACAGGAUAAUAUAUUAAACAGUGGGGUUCCUUUGUGAUAGAAGGUUUUGCGGUUCGUGAUAGACGUAUGGGCGACGGGGUAGUUAGUUGGUAAGGUAACGGCAUACCAAGGCAACGAUUCGUUGGGGAGCUGAGAGGGGGAUCGGCCACACUGGAAGUGAGACACGGCCCAGACUCCUACGGGAGGCAGCAGUAGGGAAUCUUCCGCAAUGGGCGAAAGCCUGCCGGAGCAACGCCGCGUGGGGGAUGAAGGUCUUCGGAUCGGAAAACUCUGUUAUUAGGGAAGAACAAAUGUGUAAGUAACUAUGCCCGUCUUGACGGUACCUAAUCAGAAAGCAACGGCUAACUACGUG